GAUGAACGCUGGCGGCGUGCUUAACACAUGCAAGUCGAGCGAAGCGCUUAAGUUUGAUUCUUCGGAUGAAGACUUUUGUGACUGAGCGGCGGACGGGUGAGUAACGCGUGGGUAACCUGCCUCAUACAGGGGGGAUAACAGUUAGAAAUGACUGCUAAUACCGCAUAAGCGCACAGCUUCGCAUGAAGCAGUGUGAAAAACUCCGGUGGUAUGAGAUGGACCCGCGUCUGAUUAGCUAGUUGGUGGGGUAACGGCUCACCAAGGCGACGAUCAGUAGCCGACCUGAGAGGGUGACCGGCCACAUUCGGGACUGGAGACACGGCCCAA
RNAcentral lists this ribosomal RNA (327 nucleotides) under uncultured bacterium. RNAcentral describes it as "bacterial SSU rRNA". It matches the Rfam family "Bacterial small subunit ribosomal RNA", at positions 28 to 334 of the family's 1533-position model. The record is from RNAcentral.